This is a long non-coding RNA of Scatophagus argus, 980 nucleotides long. RefSeq lists it as uncharacterized. The record is from RefSeq and is a predicted model, not a curated record. The transcript is spliced from 2 exons. NCBI's taxonomy places the organism in Eukaryota, Metazoa, Chordata, Actinopteri, Scatophagidae.
GUACUGUAGCAAUGAACAUUCUCACAACACUGUCAUACCUAAUAUACUAAUUAGUCCUCUACAAACCCAUGACGGCAAGCAUACUUUUUUUGCUUAAGUCACAUGAAUGUCUGCAUUGUGUAAUAUCCUUCCUACCCUUAAGUUACUGACUUUCUGUUUCCUCCCAGCUGACCUCUUGAGAAUUCAGUUGCCUGUGGUACCUUGUUGUAGUAAAUUAGAGCUAACUGGGGGGAAGUGGCUUGGACAAAACAUCUCUCAAGCAAGUCUCAAGCAGGAUCUGGAAGACUGGAAGAAAUAGCUGGGAGCGAGAAGGAGAUCAGGAGCUCACUUCCUCCACAACGUUUCUCUGCUGAAGUCUAGGAUGGCCAAUUGUGGGUCAUGUUUCUGGUGCAUCAUCUGGCUGGUGGUUCUGCUGUGCAUUGGCUGGCCCCUCAGCAUCACCUUAGGGGGUCUCUAUGGCCUCAUCAGCCCCCUCACCACCUGCCUCGGCUUGGACCGACUCUCCGAUCUACUCUUGGAGGGUGCCAACCUGGGCCGAACAUGUGCCAAUAACAUGAGACACUGCAAGCCUUUGUGUUGAGAUCCAUCUUGAGUGACUAAGCUCAAACAACUGCAGGCUACAGAUGAUGGCCCUCACGAGAACUGUUAAAUGUCUGCUUUAUGUGGGGAUAUCCUGAGAUGAUUGGCACUCAUACAGUGAGAAACUUUUAAGCAAGUGAUGUAACAAAAAGGUCCGAAAGGUCUGGAAAAUGGGUUCUACUCGUUCUGUUAACAUGUAAUUAACCAUGGAUUUCAAAUUUGUAUGGGUUUGUCAGGAAGGAAAUAGGCUUUGUGUUCAUGGUCUGUGUUUGCUGUUUAAUUCAUGAUGACACUGCAAGGAGAAGAUAAGAAUGAAAAUGGCAAUUUAACAAUGGAAAUGCUUAGACUUGUAAAUGACUGUAUGGAAACUUUUAAUGCGAUUAAAACUGCUUUGAACUUGC